GCAGACACAUUCCAGCCAAUCAGCAGCAGACCCUCCCUCCCAGACCCUCCCACCUCCUUUACAGCUCACUAAGAAUGCAGCUUCACAAUGAAUAUAAAAUGGAUGCUGUCCAGGAGGUGGGAGGGUCUGGGAGGGAGGGUCUGCUGCUGAUUGGCUGGAAUGUGUCUG
RNAcentral lists this microRNA precursor (168 nucleotides) under Pelobates cultripes (western spadefoot toad). Lineage: Eukaryota; Metazoa; Chordata; Amphibia; Anura; Pelobatidae. The record is from RNAcentral.